RNAcentral lists this ribosomal RNA (1370 nucleotides) under uncultured bacterium. Its description in RNAcentral is "bacterial SSU rRNA". It matches the Rfam family "Bacterial small subunit ribosomal RNA", at positions 28 to 1381 of the family's 1533-position model. The record is from RNAcentral.
GAUGAACGCUGGCGGCGUGCCUAAUACAUGCAAGUCGAGCGAACAGAUAAGGAGCUUGCUCCUUUGACGUUAGCGGCGGACGGGUGAGUAACACGUGGAUAACCUACCUAUAAGACUGGGAUAACUUCGGGAAACCGGAGCUAAUACCGGAUAACAUAUUGAACCGCAUGGUUCAAUAGUGAAAGGCGGCUUUGCUGUCACUUAUAGAUGGAUCCGCGCCGUAUUAGCUAGUUGGUAAGGUAACGGCUUACCAAGGCAACGAUACGUAGCCGACCUGAGAGGGUGAUCGGCCACACUGGAACUGAGACACGGUCCAGACUCCUACGGGAGGCAGCAGUAGGGAAUCUUCCGCAAUGGGCGAAAGCCUGACGGAGCAACGCCGCGUGAGUGAUGAAGGUCUUCGGAUCGUANAACUCUGUUAUCAGGGAAGAACAAAUGUGUAAGUAACUGUGCACAUCUUGACGGUACCUGAUCAGAAAGCCACGGCUAACUACGUGCCAGCAGCCGCGGUAAUACGUAGGUGGCAAGCGUUAUCCGGAAUUAUGGGCGUAAAGCGCGCGUAGGCGGUUUUUUAGUCUGAUGUGAAAGCCCACGGCUCAACCGUGGAGGGUCAUUGGAAACUGGAAAACUUGAGUGCAGAAGAGGAAAGUGGAAUUCCAUGUGUAGCGGUGAAAUGCGCAGAGAUAUGGAGGAACACCAGUGGUGAAGGCGACUUUCUGGUCUGUAACUGACGCUGAUGUGCGAAAGCGUGGGGAUCAAACAGGAUUAGAUACCCUGGUAGUCCACGCCGUAAACGAUGAGUGCUAAGUGUUAGGGGGUUUCCGCCCCUUAGUGCUGCAGCUAACGCAUUAAGCACUCCGCCUGGGGAGUACGACCGCAAGGUUGAAACUCAAAGGAAUUGACGGGGACCCGCACAAGCGGUGGAGCAUGUGGUUUAAUUCGAAGCAACGCGAAGAACCUUACCAAAUCUUGACAUCCUUUGACCACUCUAGAGAUAGAGUUUUCCCCUUCGGGGGACAAAGUGACAGGUGGUGCAUGGUUGUCGUCAGCUCGUGUCGUGAGAUGUUGGGUUAAGUCCCGCAACGAGCGCAACCCUUAAGCUUAGUUGCCAUCAUUAAGUUGGGCACUCUAAGUUGACUGCCGGUGACAAACCGGAGGAAGGUGGGGAUGACGUCAAAUCAUCAUGCCCCUUAUGAUUUGGGCUACACACGUGCUACAAUGGACAAUACAAAGGGCAGCUAAACCGCGAGGUCAAGCAAAUCCCAUAAAGUUGUUCUCAGUUCGGAUUGUAGUCUGCAACUCGACUACAUGAAGCUGGAAUCGCUAGUAAUCGUAGAUCAGCAUGCUACGGUGAAUACGUUCCCGGGUCU